This 493-nucleotide ribosomal RNA is filed under the name uncultured bacterium. Its description in RNAcentral is "partial 16S ribosomal RNA". It matches the Rfam family "Bacterial small subunit ribosomal RNA", at positions 29 to 507 of the family's 1533-position model. The record is from RNAcentral.
ACGAACGCUGGCGGCGUGCUUAACACAUGCCAGUCGAACGGAAAGGCCUGCUUUCCCUUGUGGAUUGCGGGUACUCGAGUGGCGAACGGGUGAGUAACACGUGAGUGAUCUGCCCCCAACUUGGGUAUAAGCCUGGGAAACUGGGUCUAAUUCCCGAUAGGACUGCAGGGUGGUGCCUGUGGUGGAAAACGAUUUUCUAGUGGUUGGGGAUGAGCUCGCGGCCUAUCAGCUUGUUGGUGGGGUAAUGGCCUACCAAGGCGGCGACGGGUAGCCGGCCUGAGAGGGUGGACGGCCACAUUGGGACUGAGAUACGGCCCAGACUCCUACGGGAGGCAGCAGUGGGGAAUAUUGCACAAUGGGCGGAAGCCUGAUGCAGCGACGCCGCGUGGGGGAUGACGGCCUUCGGGUUGUAAACUCCUUUCGACCGCGAGGAAGCCACCUGGUUGGAAGGGUGGUGACGGUAGUGGUAGAAGAAGCACCGGCUAACUACGUG